UACGGAGGAUGCGAGCGUUAUCCGGAUUUAUUGGGUUUAAAGGGUGCGCAGGCGGCACGGCAAGCCGGCGGUCAAAUCGCGGGGCUCAACCCCGCCCAGCCGUCGGAACUGCCGGGCUAGAGUGGGCGAGAAGUGCGCGGAAUGCGUGGUGUAGCGGUGAAAUGCAUAGAUAUCACGCAGAACUCCGAUUGCGAAGGCAGCGUACCGGCAUCCAACUGACGCUGAGGCACGAAAGCGUGGGGAUCAAACAGG
RNAcentral lists this ribosomal RNA (252 nucleotides) under uncultured bacterium. RNAcentral's name for it is "partial 16S ribosomal RNA". It matches the Rfam family "Bacterial small subunit ribosomal RNA", at positions 524 to 776 of the family's 1533-position model. The record is from RNAcentral.